Long non-coding RNA from Fukomys damarensis (Damara mole-rat), 1152 nucleotides. RefSeq lists it as uncharacterized. The record is from RefSeq and is a predicted model, not a curated record. The transcript has 3 exons. Lineage: Eukaryota; Metazoa; Chordata; Mammalia; Rodentia; Bathyergidae.
CCCGCCCGGUCUAGGCUUUGGGGUGCAUGGCGAGAGAAAAUGCUUUAUGCUAGAGAGCGCCGGCGGUCGAGAUUCCAGGAGCACAACGCCAGGCUCUUUGGAAACAGAAUACCUAUUGACUGAUUAUUCGUCCAGAAGCGCGCACGACAGGACUGGUUUUGUACCCUCGGUUAAAACUGCGAGGACGUGACCUCAGCCUUGUGAACUUGUGAAGGACCGAUGCGAAAGACCAGACAGGUCCCUGGAGCAAGGCCUGGCUUUGAUACACCUUUCAGAAAUGCAUGGAGGAAGAGGACUGAAGAGCCUGCUUGAGGUGCAUUCCAGCUAUGCCUGAGAUGAAGACACAGGCUGGAUUGUUCAAAAUGCAACCCCUGUCCAUUACAAGGUCCAGACGGAACGGGAGCAUCCUCUAUACAAUGCAAGAUAGCAAUAUAUUUCCUUGUUCAAAAAAAAGUGUGAAACAAGAAAAGAAACUAGAAAUAAACCCACUAUGCUUUUUGGACCUUGUUAUUGGCCUAAAUGAUAAAAAUUCAGGGAUCAAAAAGUUGGGACAGAGUUCAAAAGGAAGUCAGGAAAUAUGGCUUUACCAGGUCAUACCUUUAUUAUGUAACUUUGUUAUUUUUAGUGUUUAGUGUUACCAAGUUCCCAGAGUAGGUUUUAUACAUAACUAUACAUAUUUAGUUAUCUAUAUUCCUAUUCUCAUUUAUUCUGACAAAUUUUAACUCUGUCAUCAGAUGUGUAUCUUUUUGUUUUGAUAACAAGUUCCCAUUACUUCUUGUGGCUACUUGUGAUGGUUUACUUUUUUUUUGUAUUAAGGAACUUUGUCGUUCUAUUUGCAAAGUGCUCAUUUAACGUAAGAGCCUGACAUCUCCCAGCUAUUCUGAAGAGACACUGUCUAAAAACUAGCCAGACAAAACAGUCUUUACUUCCACUUUUGACGUUGUUUAUUAGUUCCCAAUGUUCUUUACAUUUUCAUUUAGAAGCCUCAUUCCAAACACAAAUGAGUAUGUCACAUCUUUGAAAGCAGAAAGGCUGUGGUUAAUUGAAACCAUUUACAGUUACCUUAGCAUUAGGUCUGGGGCUAAUUUCAAAGGGCCAAAUAUUGCACCUUUGUGGGCCAACCGGGGUCCCUAUUAGGUUAGCAGAGUAAUA